RNAcentral lists this small RNA (125 nucleotides) under Marmota monax (woodchuck). The record is from RNAcentral. Lineage: Eukaryota; Metazoa; Chordata; Mammalia; Rodentia; Sciuridae.
GCUGGGUGUAGCGGCGCAUGCCUGUUAUCCCAGCAGCUGGGAGGCUGAGACAUGAGGACUGGGAGUUCAAAGCCAGCCUCAGCAAAAGCGAGGUGCUUAAGCAACUCAGGGAGGUCCUGUCUCUA